This 145-nucleotide ribosomal RNA is filed under the name uncultured Bacteroides sp. RNAcentral's name for it is "partial 16S ribosomal RNA". It matches the Rfam family "Bacterial small subunit ribosomal RNA", at positions 383 to 525 of the family's 1533-position model. The record is from RNAcentral. Lineage: Bacteria; Pseudomonadati; Bacteroidota; Bacteroidia; Bacteroidales; Bacteroidaceae.
CUGAACCAGCCAAGUAGCGUGAAGGAUGACUGCCCUAUGGGUUGUAAACUUCUUUUAUAAGGGAAUAAAGUGGAGUAUGUAUACUCUUUUGUAUGUACCUUAUGAAUAAGGAUCGGCUAACUCCGUGCCAGCAGCCGCGGUAAUA